RNAcentral lists this ribosomal RNA (443 nucleotides) under uncultured bacterium. Its description in RNAcentral is "partial 16S ribosomal RNA". It matches the Rfam family "Bacterial small subunit ribosomal RNA", at positions 338 to 795 of the family's 1533-position model. The record is from RNAcentral.
CCUACGGGUGGCAGCAGUGGGGAAUAUUGGGCAAUGGGCGCAAGCCUGACCCAGCAACGCCGCGUGAAGGAAGAAGGCUGUCGGGUUGUAAACUUCUUUUCUGAGGGACGAAGAAAGUGACGGUACCUCAGGAAUAAGCCACGGCUAACUACGGGCCAGCAGCCGCGGUAAUACGUAGGUGGCAAGCGUUAUCCGGAUUUAUUGGGUGUAAAGGGCGUGUAGGCGGGAACGCAAGUCAGAUGUGAAAACUCAGGGCUCAACCCUGAGCCGGCAUUUGAAACUGUUUUUCUUGAGGGCUGGAGAGGCCAUCGGAAUUCCGUGUGUAGCGGUGAAAUGCGUAGAUAUACGGAGGAACACCAGUGGCGAAGGCGGAUUGCUGGACAGUAACUGACGCUGAGGCGCGAAAGCGUGGGGAGCAAACAGGAUUAGAUACCCCAGUAGUC